Molecule: long non-coding RNA, 1284 nt
Filed under: Homo sapiens (human)
Lineage: Eukaryota; Metazoa; Chordata; Mammalia; Primates; Hominidae
Description: CCDC26 long non-coding RNA
Source: RNAcentral
ACUUCCCAAAGAAGGUGAUGCCGAAGCUGAGGUCGGAAAUUACGAAGAUCAGCUAUCAAACUUGGAAAUCAUGUCUUAGAGAUCAAGGAGCCAAGAGAUGAGACAAGCCUGGGUUCCUAGGUGAUAGGGUGUGGCUGUGUCCCCACCCAAAUCUCGUCUUGAAUUGUAGCUCCCAUAAUCCCCACAUGUUGUGGAGGGACCCUGUGGAAGUGCAGCCCUGGCCAGAGAGGGCAGAAGCCAUUUAUUGUGGAUGCAAAGCUGUGACUAUGGCUGCCUGAACAGUGUGAUAUAUGUUCUCUAUCUCUGCUUUUAUAAGGCAGCUGUUUCUCGGAGGAUCAAGCUCAGGAUAAGUCAAUUGAGCUUCACUUCUCUAAUUGAAAUCACCGUGCUGAUGGAGUCUGUCUGUGGAAAUGAAAGGUGGCUACCAUAAUCUGUUGGGAGUUGAAUUAAUCCUCUGGGAGUGAGGCUGACCUAAUUACUCAGAAAUACUGGGCUUGCUUUCAUUCUGUGGAAUACAGCCAUGAGAAAGAGGCCAGCAUGCCAUUUCCUAAUCUUUUCUUGAAUUGCCUGAAACUCACCUAACAUGAAACUGAGAAGCCUUUUCAUUUGAAAGUGGUAUUUCUUAUGUUUUUUAUCUUUUUGCUUGAAAGUAUUCUUAAACUAAAGAAAGGAGAAACAGAAAAGGUGAAGAAGCCAAGAGGCUGGAGUUUCCUUUUGAAUGGAUAUUCAUCCAUGAAGCUGUUGAUUCUGUUUUUCUGUUCCUCCAGAUGUCUACACUUUUACCUCUGCUUGCCUGAUACAACCACCACCAGUCACCUCACAGAAUAACUCACUCCUUAAGAAUCUGAUCAGGAAUCAGCCUUCCCUGAUCACAAACACUGAGUUUAGAAGUCCCUCCACAGUGUCCCCCGUAACCCUGUGCUACCUCACUGCCUCAUAGUUUAGUGCCGUUUGUGUACAUGCCUAUCUUCGUCCAUGGAUCCAGAACAACUUGUAAAAAUGACUGUACUUAUCACCUUCAGUAUUCAAUGACUAAACUAUAAUUUUAACAUAUCUGGCAGAAUGAAUCACUUGGGGAUUUCUGCCAACACUACCAAUAUAUUACUCCUAAUUUGUAAUUAUUACUUAGCAUGGAUUAUAGUACCGGCUGUUGGAGAGCCAAUGUGGCAGACCCUAAGUGGAAUAAAAUGUCAGUAGCAGUCUAGGAGCAUAUAUUUAUUGGAAUAGAUCAUUCAUUCAUUUGUUCAUUAACUAAUUUGUUCAUUAAAUAAACAUUUAUUAAGC